RNAcentral lists this transfer RNA (38 nucleotides) under Androsace vitaliana. RNAcentral's name for it is "partial tRNA-Ser". RNAcentral also lists the same sequence under 1 other name. Lineage: Eukaryota; Viridiplantae; Streptophyta; Magnoliopsida; Ericales; Primulaceae. The record is from RNAcentral.
UUUCAGACCGGGGCUAUCAACCACUCAGCCAUCUCUCC